Molecule: ribosomal RNA, 301 nt
Filed under: uncultured bacterium
Lineage: Bacteria
Description: partial 16S ribosomal RNA
Rfam family: Bacterial small subunit ribosomal RNA
Source: RNAcentral
CAGCCGCCGCGGGAAAACGAAGGGGGCUAGCGUUGCUCGGAAUGACUGGGCGUAAAGGGCGCGUAGGCGGUUUUCCAAGUUAGAUGUGAAAUUCCUGGGCUCAACCUGGGGGCUGCAUUUGAUACUGGGAGGCUUGAGUAUGGAAGAAGGUCGUGGAAUUCCCAGUGUAGGGGUGAAAUUCGUAGAUAUUGGGAAGAACACCGGUGGCGAAGGCGGCGACCUGGUCCAUAACUGACGCUGAGGCGCGAAAGCGUGGGGAGCAAACAGGAUUAGAUACCCGGGUAGUCCCUGUCUCUUAUAC